RNAcentral lists this ribosomal RNA (468 nucleotides) under uncultured bacterium. RNAcentral describes it as "partial 16S ribosomal RNA". It matches the Rfam family "Bacterial small subunit ribosomal RNA", at positions 28 to 507 of the family's 1533-position model. The record is from RNAcentral.
GACGAACGCUGGCGGCGUGCUUAACACAUGCAAGUCGAACGGAAAGGCCCUGCUUUUGUGGGGUGCUCGAGUGGCGAACGGGUGAGUAACACGUGAGUAACCUGCCCUUGACUUUGGGAUAACUUCAGGAAACUGGGGCUAAUACCGGAUAGGAGCUCCUGCUGCAUGGUGGGGGUUGGAAAGUUUCGGCGGUUGGGGAUGGACUCGCGGCUUAUCAGCUUGUUGGUGGGGUAGUGGCUUACCAAGGCUUUGACGGGUAGCCGGCCUGAGAGGGUGACCGGCGACCUUGGGACUGAGAUACGGCCCAGACUCCUACGGGGGGCAGCAGUGGGGAAUAUUGCACAAUGGGCGGAAGCCUGAUGCAGCAACGCCGCGUGCGGGAUGACGGCCUUCGGGUUGUAAACCGCUUUCGCCUGUGACGAAGCGUGAGUGACGGUAAUGGGUAAAGAAGCACCGGCUAACUACGUG